GAUGAACGCUAGCUACAGGCUUAACACAUGCAAGUCGAGGGGUAACGAGAGGAAAGCUUGCUUUCCUUGUCGACGACCGGCGCACGGGUGAGUAACGCGUAUCCAACCUGCCCCCAACUAAGGAAUAACCUUGCGAAAGUAAGACUAAUACCUUAUAAUUUCCUCAGAUGUCAUCUGACGAGGAAUAAAGAUUUAUCGGUUGUGGAUGGGGAUGCGUCUGAUUAGCUUGUUGGCGGGGUAACGGCCCACCAAGGCAACGAUCAGUAGGGGUUCUGAGAGGAAGGUCCCCCACAUUGGAACUGAGACACGGUCCAAACUCCUACGGGAGGCAGCAGUGAGGAAUAUUGGUCAAUGGGCGGAAGCCUGAACCAGCCAAGUAGCGUGCAGGAUAACGGCCCUAUGGGUUGUAAACUGCUUUUAUACAGGAAUAAAGUUAGCCACGUGUGAUUAUUUGUAGGUACUGUAUGAAUAAGGACCGGCUAAUUCCGUGCCAGCCGCCGCCGUAA
RNAcentral lists this ribosomal RNA (506 nucleotides) under uncultured bacterium. RNAcentral's name for it is "partial 16S ribosomal RNA". It matches the Rfam family "Bacterial small subunit ribosomal RNA", at positions 28 to 523 of the family's 1533-position model. The record is from RNAcentral.